CCUACGGGAGGCAGCAGUGGGGAAUAUUGCACAAUGGGGGAAACCCUGAUGCAGCGACGCCGCGUGAAGGAAGAAGGCUUUCGGAUCGUAAACUUCUAUCAGCAGGGAAGAAGGAAGAGACAGUAUCAGACUAAGAAGCCCCGGCUAACUACGUGACAGCAGCCGCGGUAACACGUAGGGGGCACGCGGUCUGCGGAAUCACGGGGUGAAAAGGGGGCGGAGGCGGUAGGGGAAGGGAGGUGUGAAAGCCCGGCGCUAAAACCCGGGAUUGCAUUUGAAACUGUCGUACUAGAGUGCAGGAGAGGAGAGCGGAAUUCCUAGUGUAGCGGUGAAAUGCGUAGAUAUUAGGAAGAACACCAGUGGCGAAGGCGGCUUUCUGGACUGUAACUGACGCUGAGGCACGAAAGCGUGGGGAGCGAACAGGAUUAGAUACCCUUGUAGUC
RNAcentral lists this ribosomal RNA (443 nucleotides) under uncultured bacterium. Its description in RNAcentral is "bacterial SSU rRNA". It matches the Rfam family "Bacterial small subunit ribosomal RNA", at positions 338 to 795 of the family's 1533-position model. The record is from RNAcentral.